AUUGAACGCUGGCGGCAGGCCUAACACAUGCAAGUCGAGCGAGCGGCGGAGGGGUGAGUAAUGUACGGGGACUGCCCGCUAGAGGGGGAUAAAUCCUGGAAACGGUAGCUAAUAACGCAUACUAUCGGAGCACACAUAUGGGAUUAGCUAGUAGGUGAGGUAAUGGCUCACCUAGGCGACGAUCCCUAGCGGGGCUGAGAGGAUGAUCAGCCACACUGGGACUGAGACACGGCCCAGCCUCCUACGGAGGCAGCAGUGUGGAAUAUUGCACAAUGGGCGCAAUCCUGAUGCAGCCAUGCCGCGUGUAUGAAGAAGGCCCUAGGGUUGUAAAGUACUUUCAGUGGGGAGGCGUUACCUACAGAAGAAGCACCGGCUAACUCCGUGCCAGCAGCCGCGGUAAUAC
Molecule: ribosomal RNA, 403 nt
Filed under: uncultured bacterium
Lineage: Bacteria
Description: partial 16S ribosomal RNA
Rfam family: Bacterial small subunit ribosomal RNA
Source: RNAcentral